This 23-nucleotide small nuclear RNA is filed under the name Arabidopsis thaliana (thale cress). RNAcentral describes it as "snRNA_09278". The record is from RNAcentral. Lineage: Eukaryota; Viridiplantae; Streptophyta; Magnoliopsida; Brassicales; Brassicaceae.
UUCCUAAGCAAGCUUUCUUCUUU